AGUGUUAUUAAUGCUGAGGCAAUUCCAGAGGCAAUUCAGAGCCUUAUAAACAAGGGUUAUUUAGUAUCUCCUUUCUCCAUCAAGAAAGCUAGCAAUGCUGAAGAGAAGCAUUUGACCAGAGCCCAUGAAUCAGAAAAUUUACGCUUUCUCCCCUACGCUGACCACAAGGAUAAACCAGCCCAUGAAUCAGAAAAUUUACGCUUUCUCCCAUACGCUGACCACAAUGAUAAACCAGCCCAUGAAUCAGAAAAUUUACGCUUUCUCCCCUACGCUGACCACAAUGAUAAAUCAGCCCAUGAAUCAGAAAAUUUACGCGUUCUCCCCUACGCUGAUCACAAUGACAAACCAGCCCAUGAAUCAGAAAAUUUACGUUUUCUCCCCUACGCUGACCACAAGGACAAACCAACCCAUGAAUCAGAAAAUUUACACUUUCUCCCCUACGCUGACCACAAGGACAAACCAGCCCAUGAAUCAGAAAAUUUACGUUUUCUCCCCUACGCUGACCACAAGGACAAACCAGCCCAUGAAUCAGAAAAUUUACGCUUUAUUCCCUACGCUGAUCAUAAGGAUAAACCAGCCCAUAAAUCAGAAAAUUUACUCUUUAUUCCCUACGCUGAAAAUUAGUUGAAAAAUAACGUUCAACUAAAGACCUUGAAUGAUCAGAAAGGCUUAUUGUCUAAGCAUAUAUAUUCCAUGUGUGAUGAAUCUAGUUUGAAUGCAGGCGAGUCAUUGGAGGCCAGAUGCUACAAAAUAAUAACGACUAGCGUGGUACAAUUAGGCCUAUGGUUGUGAUUGUUAUCUAAAUUAAAAGUGAUUUGUGUCUGUAAUGUGUCUUAAUAUGUAUUUUGUGAUUGUGAUGAUAAAAACUAUCAGUUUGUUGUUUCUUUACCUAGAGGCUAGAUGAUUAGCCAAUUUACGUGCAUAAUUAUUUAGAAAUAAUUAGUCUGUUAUUCUUUGGGACUAACAACAGUAAAAUAGACCUACAAAGGAGAAAGGGUGUUUAAACACAUGAACUUGGGUCAAUUAUCACGUAGUAGUUUGUGAAAUUGGGUCAAUUAUCACGUAGUAAUAAUAUGAACUUACAUAUUAUUACUUCCUUUUGGAAAUGAUAAUCCACAUGCAGUAAUACCAUAUGAAUGGGUAAAAUCUCUUGCACCCUAAUAGGUUAUCUGAACCUCUUAGUUUUUUAUGAAAUCCAGCCCUGCACGUUGAAAAAUAUGACAGUAAGUAAAUUUUUAUACGAUUAACCAGUUCACAACUUAAUGAAAACAAAGAAGAGAUAUGCGGAUAGUAGCGACAAAGAAAAGAAUAAAAAAAAUAGGAGUCUCUCU
RNAcentral lists this long non-coding RNA (1331 nucleotides) under Panax ginseng (ginseng). Its description in RNAcentral is "long non-coding RNA (PGIN_LNC009430)". Lineage: Eukaryota; Viridiplantae; Streptophyta; Magnoliopsida; Apiales; Araliaceae. The record is from RNAcentral.